UACGUAGGGUGCAAGCGUUAAUCGGAAUUACUGGGCGUAAAGCGUGCGCAGGCGGUUGUGCAAGACCGAUGUGAAAUCCCCGGGCUUAACCUGGGAAUGGCAUUGGUGACUGCACGGCUAGAGUGUGUCAGAGGGGGGUAGAAUUCCACGUGUGAGCAGUGAAAUGCGUAGAGAUGUGGAGGAAUACCGAUGGCGAAGGCAGCCCCCUGGGGAUAACACUGACGCUCAUGCACGAAAGCGUGGGGAGCAAACAGG
RNAcentral lists this ribosomal RNA (255 nucleotides) under uncultured bacterium. RNAcentral's name for it is "partial 16S ribosomal RNA". It matches the Rfam family "Bacterial small subunit ribosomal RNA", at positions 524 to 776 of the family's 1533-position model. The record is from RNAcentral.